UGGGGGAUAUUGCACAAUGGGGGAAACCCUGAUGCAGCAAUGCCGCGUGAGGGAAGAAGGUCUUCGGAUUGUAAACCUAAGUUGUCAGGGACGAAAGAAAUGACGGUACCUGAAGAGAAAGCUCCGGCUAACUACGUGCCAGCAGCCGCGGUAAUACGUAGGGAGCGAGCGUUGUCCGGAAUUACUGGGUGUAAAGGGUGCGUAGGCGGGAUGGCAAGUCAGACGUGAAAUACCGGGGCUCAACUCCGGGGCUGCGUUUGAAACUGUCGUUCUUGAGUGAAGUAGAGGCAGGCGGAAUUCCUAGUGUAGCGGUGAAAUGCGUAGAUAUUAGGAGGAACACCAGUGGCGAAGGCGGCCUGCUGGGCUUUAACUGACGCUGAUGCACGAAAGCAUGGGGAGC
This 400-nucleotide ribosomal RNA is filed under the name uncultured bacterium. RNAcentral describes it as "bacterial SSU rRNA". It matches the Rfam family "Bacterial small subunit ribosomal RNA", at positions 355 to 769 of the family's 1533-position model. The record is from RNAcentral.